Drosophila guanche is the source of this 667-nucleotide long non-coding RNA. RefSeq lists it as uncharacterized. The record is from RefSeq and is a predicted model, not a curated record. NCBI's taxonomy places the organism in Eukaryota, Metazoa, Arthropoda, Insecta, Diptera, Drosophilidae. The transcript has 2 exons.
CACAAGUUCCACUAUGAACUUACUAAUACUUAAAAACAUGUGGAUAAAUAUGUGUGUAUGCAUAUGUACAUAUAUGUUCAUACAAUCGAGUUUACUAGUCAAGCAACGGAUCUCAUAUCGUAGUCAGAAACAUAAACAGGAUAUCUGUACAUACGAAAAUGUAUGUAUGUACAUAUGUAUGUAUGUUUGUAUGCAUGAUAUCCAGGUGCCGAAACAUGUUUAAUGAAGGGAUUUCCUCCCGUCUAUUACAUUUGUAUGGAUGGGAUAUACUUAAGAACGUCCGUCUUUGCAUUCGGCUUUAGAAAAUUCUAUUAUUAUUUGUUAUCACGGAACAUCCAUACAUACAUACAUAUGUACGUAAUCUGAAACUACUUUUAGAUAACCCAGAGUAUCUUAGCGCCUCAAUAAUUUGUUACGGUUUUCAUAUCCAUAAAUCCUUUUAGUCUAUGUAAAGAACAAUCAGAAUUAUGUAUAUUUAAGACUUACAUUUUAAGUUUUCGCUUCGUUUUGGACAUAUGUCCAUACAGUGUGCAGACUAAAGUAUAGUGGUAUAGUAUGGUGUUUAUGUAGGUAAGAGAAAAAGGGAAGCGUCGAUUGUGUAUAAAGUUUAUAAAUACUUAUGUACAUAUGUAUAUAAUAAAUCAGCAACGAUUUGUUCCGUUUAAAA